GAUGAAGAACGUAGCGAAAUGCGAUAAGUAAUGCGAAUUGCAGAAUCCGUGAGUCAUCGAAUCUUUGAACGCACAUUGCGCCCUUUGGUAUUCCGAAGGGCAUGCCUGUUCGAGCGUCAUUAUCACCCCUCAAGCCCCGGCUUGGUGUUGGGCUCUCGGUGGUCGUCUCCGACCACCCGUCUCAAAGAUAGUGACGGCGUCCCAGAGGGAACCGGUACGAGGAGCUUUCACGAGCAUGUACGCGGGACGACUCUGCGGGCGACGGUCUUAUUUACUUUAUAUACCAGUGUUGACCUCGGAUCAGGUAGGAAUACCCGCUGAACUUAAGCAUAUCAAUAAGCGGAGGA
RNAcentral lists this unclassified non-coding RNA (347 nucleotides) under soil metagenome. RNAcentral's name for it is "partial contains 5.8S ribosomal RNA, internal transcribed spacer 2, and large subunit ribosomal RNA". The stretch from base 1 to 119 matches the Rfam family "5.8S ribosomal RNA", at positions 35 to 154 of the family's 154-position model. The record is from RNAcentral.